This is a transfer RNA of Camelus ferus (Wild Bactrian camel), 76 nucleotides long. It matches the Rfam family "tRNA". From Rfam's summary of the family: Transfer RNA (tRNA) molecules are approximately 80 nucleotides in length. Their secondary structure includes four short double-helical elements and three loops (D, anti-codon, and T loops). The record is from Rfam. NCBI's taxonomy places the organism in Eukaryota, Metazoa, Chordata, Mammalia, Artiodactyla, Camelidae.
AAGGGUAUAGCUCAGUGGUAGAGUACAUACAUGCCUAGCAUGCACGAGGUCCUGGGUUCAGUCCCCAGUACCUCCA